This 24-nucleotide non-coding RNA is filed under the name Arabidopsis thaliana (thale cress). Lineage: Eukaryota; Viridiplantae; Streptophyta; Magnoliopsida; Brassicales; Brassicaceae. The record is from RNAcentral.
UACGACUACGUUAACGGUGUCAAC